UAAACGAUGCCAACCAGCAAUCCGCCUGAGUUCCUUAAAUGACUCGGCGGGCGGCUUCCGGGAAACCAAAGUUUUUCGGUUCCAGGGGAAGUAUGGUUGCAAAGCUGAAACUUAAAGGAAUUGACGGAAGGGCACCACCAGGAGUGGAGCCUGCGGCUUAAUUUGACUCAACACGGGAAAACUUACCCGGCCCGGACACUGGAAGGAUUGACAGAUUGAGAGCUCUUUCUUGAUUCAGUGGGUGGUGGUGCAUGGCCGUUCUUAGUUGGUGGAGCGAUUUGUCUGGUUAAUUCCGAUAACGAACGAGACUCUAGCCUACUAAAUAGACCAGAGGCUUCUUAAAACACGUCUCUGGCUGCUUCUUAGAGGGACAGGCGGCGGUUCAGCCGCACGAAACAGAGCAAUAACAGGUCUGUGAUGCCCUUAGAUGUCCGGGGCCGCACGCGCGCUACACUGAAGUGAUCAGCGUGCUUUUUGUACCCUGCUCUGCCAAGAGUGGGUAACCCAAUGAACCUUCUUCGUGAUUGGGAUAGGGGAUUGUAAUUAUUCCCCUUGAACGAGGAAUUCCCAGUAAGCGCGAGUCAUAAGCUCGCGUUGAUUACGUCCCUGCCCUUUGUACACACCGCCCGUCGCUACUACCGAUUGGAGGUAGACGAGAGGUCUCGAGAUUGCUCUCUGGGCUG
Molecule: ribosomal RNA, 683 nt
Filed under: uncultured eukaryote
Lineage: Eukaryota
Description: SSU rRNA
Rfam family: Eukaryotic small subunit ribosomal RNA
Source: RNAcentral